CCUACGGGGGGCAGCAGUGGGGAAUAUUGGACAAUGGGGGGAACCCUGAUCCAGCCAUGCCGCGUGUGUGAAGAAGGCCCUCGGGUUGUAAAGCACUUUCAGUGAGGAAGAACGCCUGGUGGUGAAUACCCAUCAGGAAAGACAUCACUCACAGAAGAAGCACCGGCUAACUCCGUGCCAGCAGCCGCGGUAAUACGGAGGGUGCGAGCGUUAAUCGGAAUUACUGGGCGUAAAGCGCGCGUAGGUGGCUUGAUAAGCCGGUUGUGAAAGCCCCGGGCUCAACCUGGGAACGGCAUCCGGAACUGUCAAGCUAGAGUGCAGGAGAGGAAGGUAGAAUUCCCGGUGUAGCGGUGAAAUGCGUAGAGAUCGGGAGGAAUACCAGUGGCGAAGGCGGCCUUCUGGACUGACACUGACACUGAGGUGCGAAAGCGUGGGUAGCAAACAGGAUUAGAUACCCUGGUAGUC
This 465-nucleotide ribosomal RNA is filed under the name Vreelandella stevensii. RNAcentral describes it as "partial 16S ribosomal RNA". It matches the Rfam family "Bacterial small subunit ribosomal RNA", at positions 338 to 795 of the family's 1533-position model. Lineage: Bacteria; Pseudomonadati; Pseudomonadota; Gammaproteobacteria; Oceanospirillales; Halomonadaceae. The record is from RNAcentral.